This 425-nucleotide ribosomal RNA is filed under the name uncultured bacterium. RNAcentral's name for it is "bacterial SSU rRNA". It matches the Rfam family "Bacterial small subunit ribosomal RNA", at positions 356 to 773 of the family's 1533-position model. The record is from RNAcentral.
GGGGAAUUUUGGACAAUGGGCGCAAGCCUGAUCCAGCCAUGCCGCGUGCAGGAUGAAGGCCUUCGGGUUGUAAACUGCUUUUGUACGGAACGAAAAGACUCUGGUUAAUACCUGGGGUCCAUGACGGUACCGUAAGAAUAAGCACCGGCUAACUACGUGCCAGCAGCCGCGGUAAUACGUAGGGUGCAAGCGUUAAUCGGAAUUACUGGGCGUAAAGCGUGCGCAGGCGGUUAUGUAAGACAGAGGUGAAAUCCCCGGGCUCAACCUGGGAACUGCCUUUGUGACUGCAUAGCUAGAGUACGGCAGAGGGGGAUGGAAUUCCGCGUGUAGCAGUGAAAUGCGUAGAUAUGCGGAGGAACACCGAUGGCGAAGGCAAUCCCCUGGGCCUGUACUGACGCUCAUGCACGAAAGCGUGGGGAGCAAAC